Molecule: ribosomal RNA, 478 nt
Filed under: uncultured bacterium
Lineage: Bacteria
Description: partial 16S ribosomal RNA
Rfam family: Bacterial small subunit ribosomal RNA
Source: RNAcentral
GACGAACGCUGGCGGCGUGCUUAACACAUGCAAGUCGAACGGUAAGGCCCUUCGGGGUACACGAGUGGCGAACGGGUGAGUAACACGUGGGUGAUCUGCCCUGCACUUCGGGAUAAGCCUGGGAAACUGGGUCUAAUACCGGACAGGACCACUGCCUGCAUGGGCGGUGGUGGAAAGCCUUUGCGGUGUGGGAUGGGCCCGCGGCCUAUCAGCUUGUUGGUGGGGUGAUGGCCUACCAAGGCGACGACGGGUAGCCGGCCUGAGAGGGUGACCGGCCACACUGGGACUGAGAUACGGCCCAGACUCCUACGGGAGGCAGCAGUGGGGAAUAUUGCACAAUGGGCGCAAGCCUGAUGCAGCGACGCCGCGUGAGGGAUGACGGCCUUCGGGUUGUAAACCUCUUUCAGCACCGACGAAGCGCAAGUGACGGUAGGUGCAGAAGAAGGACCGGCCAACUACGUGCCAGCCGCCGCGGUAA